RNAcentral lists this ribosomal RNA (568 nucleotides) under uncultured Alphaproteobacteria bacterium. Its description in RNAcentral is "partial 16S ribosomal RNA". The record is from RNAcentral. Lineage: Bacteria; Pseudomonadati; Pseudomonadota; Alphaproteobacteria.
UUUAUAAAACUAAAUUGUAAGAGUUCUUCUAAAAAAUUGCAUUUUUCGAAUAUGACGGGCGGUGUGUACAGGGCUUAUAAACUAAUUCACCGUAACGUUCUUAUUCGCGAUUACUUGUGACUCCUGCUUUGUACAAACGAGUUACAGCUUGUAGUUCGAACUAAAAAAUAUUUACAAGAUUAACUACAAUUUGUGUAAAAAUUGAACGUUACUUUUUGUAAUUUUUAAUGUAGCACAUUAAUAGCCCAAUUUAUAAAGGUCACGUGGACUUGACUUGCUUCUUAAUUCUUUUGAUUUAUAAUCAAAACUUUUAUUAAAAACAUUUAUUUAGUAAAAUGUUAUCAAAAAAAAGAGUUACGUUCGUUAAAGGAAUUAACCAAACAUUUCACAACACGAACCUACGACAGACGUGCAACACCUGUAAAACUAGAAAAUUGUGUAAAAAAUUAACAAAAAGGUCUUGUAAUAUUCAAAAAUUGGUAAGAUUUUGCGCGGAUUAUCGCAUUAAAAAACAUGCCCCGCCACUUGUGUAAGCCCCUGUCAAUUCCUUUAAGUUUCAGUUUUUCAA